UACGGAGGGAGCUAGCGUUGUUCGGAAUUACUGGGCGUAAAGCGCACGUAGGCGGCUUCUUAAGUCAGGGGUGAAAUCCUGGAGCUCAACUCCAGAACUGCCUUUGAUACUGAGGAGCUUGAGUCCGGGAGAGGUGAGUGGAACUGCGAGUGUAGAGGUGAAAUUCGUAGAUAUUCGCAAGAACACCAGUGGCGAAGGCGGCUCACUGGCCCGGUACUGACGCUGAGGUGCGAAAGCGUGGGGAGCAAACAGG
This 253-nucleotide ribosomal RNA is filed under the name uncultured bacterium. Its description in RNAcentral is "partial 16S ribosomal RNA". It matches the Rfam family "Bacterial small subunit ribosomal RNA", at positions 524 to 776 of the family's 1533-position model. The record is from RNAcentral.